GCUAUUUAUUACGUGGGAUCCACACAUGCAACUCGUGCUUUCCGACGGAAGCAGAGGCAGGCACAACUCUAAGUGGCGUACCGCGGUUCGGAGUCCAAUUGCCGCGGUAAAAGGCGACCUACAAUGGGAGCGGCGUCAAGAUGUAUGACGACGAUGAUGGUGCAACCGUUGUUGUGUCCGUAAAUAGAAAUAAAGCUAAGGAUGGG
Molecule: long non-coding RNA, 206 nt
Filed under: Setaria italica (foxtail millet)
Lineage: Eukaryota; Viridiplantae; Streptophyta; Magnoliopsida; Poales; Poaceae
Description: long non-coding RNA (SITA_LNC004983)
Source: RNAcentral